Molecule: ribosomal RNA, 376 nt
Filed under: uncultured bacterium
Lineage: Bacteria
Description: bacterial SSU rRNA
Rfam family: Bacterial small subunit ribosomal RNA
Source: RNAcentral
UACGGAGGGUGCAAGCGUUGUUCGGAAUCACUGGGCGUAAAGGGCGCGCAGGCGGUUUGGUAAGUCAGAUGUGAAAGCCCACGGCUUAACCGUGGAAGUGCAUUUGAAACUGCCAGACUUGAGUACCAGAGGGGAAAGUGGAAUUCCCGGUGUAGAGGUGAAAUUCGUAGAUAUCGGGAGGAAUACCGGUGGCGAAGGCGACUUUCUGGCUGGAUACUGACGCUGAGGCGCGAAAGCGUGGGGAGCAAACAGGAUUAGAUACCCUGGUAGUCCACGCCGUAAACGAUGUCAACUAGAUGUAGGGGGUGUUGAUCCCCUCUGUGUCGCAGCUAACGCAUUAAGUUGACCGCCUGGGGAGUACGGUCGCAAGAUUAAA